UGGGGAAUAUUGCACAAUGGGCGCAAGCCUGAUGCAGCCAUGCCGCGUGUGUGAAGAAGGCCUUCGGGUUGUAAAGCACUUUCAGCGAGGAGGAAGGUGGUGAGCUUAAUACGCUCAUCAAUUGACGUUACUCGCAGAAGAAGCACCGGCUAACUCCGUGCCAGCAGCCGCGGUAAUACGGAGGGUGCAAGCGUUAAUCGGAAUUACUGGGCGUAAAGCGCACGCAGGCGGUUUGUUAAGUCAGAUGUGAAAUCCCCGGGCUCAACCUGGGAACUGCAUUUGAAACUGGCAAGCUAGAGUCUCGUAGAGGGGGGUAGAAUUCCAGGUGUAGCGGUGAAAUGCGUAGAGAUCUGGAGGAAUACCGGUGGCGAAGGCGGCCCCCUGGACGAAGACUGACGCUCAGGUGCGAAAGCGUGGGGCAGCAAACAGGAUUAGAUACCCUGGUAGUCCACGCUGUAAACGAUGUCGAUUUUGGAGGUUGUGCCCCUUGAGGCGUGGCUUCCGGAGCUAACGCGUUAAAUCGACCGCCUGGGGAGUACGGCCGCAAGGUUAAAACUCAAAUGAAUUGCGGGGUCU
This 576-nucleotide ribosomal RNA is filed under the name uncultured bacterium. RNAcentral describes it as "partial 16S ribosomal RNA". It matches the Rfam family "Bacterial small subunit ribosomal RNA", at positions 355 to 921 of the family's 1533-position model. The record is from RNAcentral.